AACGCUGGCGGCGUGCCUAAUACAUGCAAGUCGAGCGAGCAGAACCAGCAGAUUUACUUCGGUAAUGACGCUGGGGACGCGAGCGGCGGAUGGGUGAGUAACACGUGGGGAACCUGCCCCAUAGUCUGGGAUACCACUUGGAAACAGGUGCUAAUACCGGAUAAUAAAGCAGAUCGCAUGAUCAGCUUAUAAAAGGCGGCGUAAGCUGUCGCUAUGGGAUGGCCCCGCGGUGCAUUAGCUAGUUGGUAAGGUAACGGCUUACCAAGGCAAUGAUGCAUAGCCGAGUUGAGAGACUGAACGGCCACAUUGGGACUGAGACACGGCCCAAACUCCUACGGGAGGCAGCAGUAGGGAAUCUUCCACAAUGGACGCAAGUCUGAUGGAGCAACGCCGCGUGAGUGAAGAAGGUUUUCGGAUCGUAAAGCUCUGUUGUUGGUGAAGAAGGAUAGAGGUAGUAACUGGCCUUUAUUUGACGGUAAUCAACCAGAAAGUCACGGCUAACUACGUGCCAGCAGCCGCGGUAAUACGUAGGUGGCAAGCGUUGUCCGGAUUUAUUGGGCGUAAAGCGAGCGCAGGCGGAAGAAUAAGUCUGAUGUGAAAGCCCUCGGCUUAACCGAGGAAUUGCAUCGGAAACUGUUUUUCUUGAGUGCAGAAGAGGAGAGUGGAACUCCAUGUGUAGCGGUGGAAUGCGUAGAUAUAUGGAAGAACACCAGUGGCGAAGGCGGCUCUCUGGUCUGCAACUGACGCUGAGGCUCGAAAGCAUGGGUAGCGAACAGGAUUAGAUACCCUGGUAGUCCAUGCCGUAAACGAUGAGUGCUAAGUGUUGGGAGGUUUCCGCCUCUCAGUGCUGCAGCUAACGCAUUAAGCACUCCGCCUGGGGAGUACGACCGCAAGGUUGAAACUCAAAGGAAUUGACGGGGGCCCGCACAAGCGGUGGAGCAUGUGGUUUAAUUCGAAGCAACGCGAAGAACCUUACCAGGUCUUGACAUCUAGUGCCAUCCUAAGAGAUUAGGAGUUCCCUUCGGGGACGCUAAGACAGGUGGUGCAUGGCUGUCGUCAGCUCGUGUCGUGAGAUGUUGGGUUAAGUCCCGCAACGAGCGCAACCCUUAUUAUUAGUUGCCAGCAUUAAGUUGGGCACUCUAAUGAGACUGCCGGUGACAAACCGGAGGAAGGUGGGGAUGACGUCAAGUCAUCAUGCCCCUUAUGACCUGGGCUACACACGUGCUACAAUGGGCAGUACAACGAGAAGCGAGCCUGCGAAGGCAAGCGAAUCUCUGAAAGCUGUUCUCAGUUCGGACUGCAGUCUGCAACUCGACUGCACGAAGCUGGAAUCGCUAGUAAUCGCGGAUCAGAACGCCGCGGUGAAUACGUUCCCGGGCCUUGUACACACCGCCCGUCACACCAUGGAAGUCUGCAAUGCCCAAAGCCGGUGGCCUAACCUUCGGGAAGGAACCGUCUAAGGCAGGGCAGAUGACUGGGG
Molecule: ribosomal RNA, 1480 nt
Filed under: Lactobacillus helveticus
Lineage: Bacteria; Bacillati; Bacillota; Bacilli; Lactobacillales; Lactobacillaceae
Description: bacterial SSU rRNA
Rfam family: Bacterial small subunit ribosomal RNA
Source: RNAcentral